RNAcentral lists this ribosomal RNA (319 nucleotides) under uncultured Anaerolineaceae bacterium. RNAcentral's name for it is "bacterial SSU rRNA". It matches the Rfam family "Bacterial small subunit ribosomal RNA", at positions 1051 to 1382 of the family's 1533-position model. The record is from RNAcentral. Lineage: Bacteria; Bacillati; Chloroflexota; Anaerolineae; Anaerolineales; Anaerolineaceae.
GUCGUCAGCUCGUGUCGUGAGAUGUUCGGUUAAGUCCGCUAACGAGCGCAACCCUCGCUGUGUGUUACAAGUGUCACACGGAACUGCCGGUCAUAAACCGGAGGAAGGUGGGGAUGACGUCAAGUCAGCAUGGCCUUUAUAUCCUGGGCUACACACACGCUACAAUGGGAAGGGACAAUAGGUUGCGAAGCCGCGAGGCGGAGCCAAUCCAGCAAAACUUCCCUCAGUUCAGAUUGCAGGCUGCAACUCGCCUGCAUGAAGUUGGAGUUGCUAGUAAACGCAGGUCAGCCAUACUGCGUUGAAUACGUUCCCGGGGCUU